RNAcentral lists this ribosomal RNA (305 nucleotides) under uncultured bacterium. Its description in RNAcentral is "bacterial SSU rRNA". It matches the Rfam family "Bacterial small subunit ribosomal RNA", at positions 333 to 637 of the family's 1533-position model. The record is from RNAcentral.
GUACCCUACGGGAGGCAGCAGUGAGGAAUAUUGGUCAAUGGGCGUAAGCCUGAACCAGCCAAGUCGCGUGAGGGACGACGGCCCUACGGGUUGUAAACCUCUUUUGCCGGGGGACAAACGGCGGCACGCGUGCCGUCCUGAGGGUACCCGGAGAAAAAGCAUCGGCUAACUCCGUGCCAGCAGCCGCGGUAAUACGGAGGAUGCGAGCGUUAUACGGAUUUAUUGGGUUUAAAGGGUGCGUAGGCGGGAUGCCAAGUCAGCGGUCAAAUACGGGGACUCAACCUGCGUCCGCAGUUGAAACUGGG